AAGACACCACUUUUCUUUUUUUUUUUUCCUCACUUCACUUAGUGUCAAUGUUCAAAAAAUGUUGUUCAAAGGCCUUUACUUGAAUCAUAUCAACAAUCUUGCAGUCACGAUACUAUCAAAUUGCUCCUUGAAACCCUUUGCCGUAAAUACCGCCGCGGUGUUGAUUUGCCCUCCAUCCGACCAAAUCGUUGGACUUGUCAUUGCGUCUUGCCAAAGAAUUUCCAACCCUCGUCAACUGUGACGUCUUGUUGUGAUGAUGAAAACCGGAUUGACGCUGCAUGUUUCAAGUGACCCAAUUACAAUUUUGUUUUUUCUUUUUUGUUCUCAUGUCGCACCAUUUCGGAUGCAUCAUGGUAAAGAGAGAAAAACAGGAUUGGGGAUCAAAAUGUGAGGCGUUGCGAAUAUCUGCCAAGUUGAGUUCAGGGUAGACGUACAGAUCGGAUCACAUACACCCCGUCGGUGUCGGCUUGCCCUCAUCGAAAAUACACCGAUUGCUGAUUUGCACGCACCCACGUUUGCCCAAACAACACAAAUAAAGCACAUUAAAAACUUUUGACUUGAACAAUUAAAUACGGUCAAAGUCCGAUGCAUUGUCCUGAAAAGAGGGAACUAUUUGCAAACAGUGUCCGAUGAAGUCCCGUGCUUGAAAUCGUCUGAAUCAACAAGUGAAGAGUCAACUGAGGCCAGUUAAAGCUUAUGGAAGGUUUCACAUUUGCAUUAUGUAAGCGGUAUUGCUUUUCGUCUCGACCUGGUGUGGGCACGUGUGGGGUUAUUUGCAUGCAGUUUGGAUCUUACUCUGGUUUUCCAUCAGUGUAAACGCAGACCUAUGGGAUACGUCUCACUUCAAAUUUUGGCGGAUUGAUACAUGGUCGUCACUGAUGGAAGAGAACUGCGAAGGCCGUUUGAUCAAAUGAGAUUUUGCCCCGUUUAUCGGUCAAGAAACAAUGCCUCGUUUGACGCGGGUCCAAACAUGUUUUAACUAUAAGGAGGUAGAAUACGGACAUUUUCAAAUACAAAUGGGCAAAAACAAAGAACAACAUUGAACAUUUUCAAAUCUAAUCCAAUCAUUGAAGUUACAAAAAAAGUUGAAUUUUGGACUUUCCAAACAUUUGAUUGCGUGAUUAUUUGAAAUGAUACUCUUUGGCAUAAGGGUCAUCAAAGUGACUUUCUGUAAACCUGUUAGAUCUGUUUCUGCGGAAUAGCAAAGCAAUCUUCCUGGUUCACUUUGAUCAAAAAAAAAAAAGCACCCAAACUAUUUGACAUUGUUCUCCACUACUCACCAUUCCAGUCAAUCUGUAUGGUUGAGUACACUUUUCAGGCCUUGAAACACACACCUUUGUUUAGACUUCAAAAUGGCUCAACUGGACCUGUGACAUAACAGGAGAGUUGACGUACAUCAUUUCAAAGCCCCGAGCUGUGUUUGAACCGUCAUUGCUGAUACGCUUUAUAUUUUGGUUCGGGUUGGGCCUUUUGGCACCGAUUGUACUUCAAGUGUAGAAAACGGAUGGCUGGAUGCGAUUGGUUGCUGCAGAAAUGGAGCAAGCUCCUCGAUUGAGCCGACGAAAUGUCACCUUCGAGAACUUGAACAAAACUGUCAAAAUUUGUGCCACUUUUCACAAUAGCCUCUUUCACGCGACGUUUUGUCGCGUUCAUUUUCUUGCGCCUUUCACGUGUAGCCCAUCGAUCGGAUGGGGCGUUACCAUUGCGUUUGUUGGCCAGCGUCAAGAGGUCAGAGAAGUGAGUCUCGGGUGUUCAAAGUUUACACUUCUGGUUGCGGCUUUCUCUGCAUCCCUUUUACGUGGCCAGCGCUGCACCUCAGUACUGCUUUUAAAACGACGGUAAUUCCCUCAAAAAUUGAAGGGGGACAGGGACAGAGCCAUGCCCUGAAUGGCAAAAAAUAAUGGUGAGUUAUUGACACGCCCCUAAAAUUGUCUACAUUAAUAGUCUAAACCACAAAUCGAUAAGAUGUGAACCCGAAACACAUGAAUAUACUUUGUCGUUUUAAACUCAUCUUCCAACAUGACUUUUAAAGAUAAUUGCCUGUCAGACUAGUUUAUGAAAACAAAAACAUGCAGCAAAGACUCUCCCCAACUUCGGCUUCCAAACUUGGCUUCUCCUCAACAUCCAAAUGUUUUAGUCUCUCAGUUUUAAUCGCAUAUCUUAUCAUGUCUACAUACGUCUUUGACACCCUUUACUCAUCUGCAGCCAUAUCUCGACAUGUUCUUUUGUUUCUUUUUAGAAUCAGCAAACAAGCAGCUGUUGAAUGAAUGUCAGUGAGGUUCCAUCAAUUGUGGUGGCACACCGAACGAUAUGUCGGAACUCGCUGAAUUCAGAGUCUCGCUGAUAUGAGUCUGUUUUUAGUGGGCGGCUCUGGCUCAUACGGUGCAAAUGAGACACUUGUCUCUUCUCAAGUAUGGCUUUGGUGACUACUUAAUGAGUCCCGACUAUAAAAAAAAUGAGUGCGAAAUGUAAAGCGCACAACGGCCCUUCAGGAAGACCGUAAAGACAUUCAGCAUACGGUGCCUUGAAAAAGACUUCGUACGACUUGAACCUUUUCACAUUUUGUGACCGCACAUGUAUUUUCACUCGCGGCGGCAGCACUUCAUCAUCAAGCAACUGUCAGCUAGUUUGGCGAUCCCUACAGACAAACAAACAAACACACACAAGUCAAGGCCGCUCUGCAUACCGUUUGGCUUUGACUUACUUUCAGGUUACGUACUUCAGCAGUCACGCGAAAAGUGGCGGUUCUCCAACUGUGCCAAGCUGUGGUCAGAGCAACUUUUGUCUGUUACAUAACACAACAUUGGCAGCUCAUAAGCGAUUCAUUUGGUGGCUUAUUUUCACACUUGCUGAACAGCCAAACAUUCCGCAGGGAACCCGGCUGAAGUCAAUUUUCCAUAAUGUGUCAUCUUUAAUUUCAGCGGGAAAAUCUAUGGGAUGUUUGCCGUGGCCGUAUGCCCCCCACUGCCCCAAA
This is a long non-coding RNA of Hippocampus comes (tiger tail seahorse), 2974 nucleotides long. RefSeq lists it as uncharacterized. The record is from RefSeq and is a predicted model, not a curated record. Lineage: Eukaryota; Metazoa; Chordata; Actinopteri; Syngnathiformes; Syngnathidae. The transcript is spliced from 2 exons.